GGGGGGGGGUGGGGGGACCGCGCGGCGUCGACGCCAAGCUCCCCUUUUUCCUCGUGGAUUCCCCAAUCAUCCAAUCAUCUCGACUGAGCAGGUGCUCUCAAGGGAGCCCCAGAGGGAAGCGUGGAAGUAGAUGGUGACAGAGGCCGUGUGGCGGUGGGGGCGCCGGACCACCGCGACCAGCCGUGCCACGCCAUUGGCUGCCUGCCACGCUGGCACCCAGGCCCUCCUCCUGAGGGAAACACUCAACACCCUCAACCUCUGCAGGACAGGAAGGGCUAAGUGUUUCCCCCUCGAAUCCAUCCGCUUCCUUUUUUCAAAUGAAUUCUAAUAAUAAAUUAGAAUCAUAAUGAUAAA
This is a long non-coding RNA of Anguilla anguilla (European eel), 354 nucleotides long. RefSeq lists it as uncharacterized. The record is from RefSeq and is a predicted model, not a curated record. The transcript has 2 exons. Lineage: Eukaryota; Metazoa; Chordata; Actinopteri; Anguilliformes; Anguillidae.